CCUACGGGUGGCAGCAGUGGGGAAUAUUGGGCAAUGGGCGCAAGCCUGACCCAGCAAUGCCGCGUGAAGGAAGAAGGCUUUCGGGUUGUAAACUUCUUUGACAGGGGAAGAGCAGAAGACGGUACCCUGAAAACAAGCCACGGCUAACUACGUGCCAGCAGCCGCGGUAAUACGUAGGGUGCGAGCGUUAAUCGGAAUUACUGGGGGUAAAGGGUGUGCAGGCGGUUUUGCAAGAUGGAUGUGAAAGCCCCGGGCUUAACCUGGGAAAGCCAUACAUCACUGCAAGACUAGAGUGCGUCAGAGGGGGGUGGAAUUCCAAGUGUAGCAGUGAAAUGCGUAGAUAUUUGGAAGAACACAGAUGGCGAAGGCAGCCCCCUGGGACGCAACUGACGCUCAUACACGAAAGCGUGGGGAGCAAACAGGAUUAGAUACCCUUGUAGUC
RNAcentral lists this ribosomal RNA (442 nucleotides) under uncultured bacterium. RNAcentral's name for it is "partial 16S ribosomal RNA". It matches the Rfam family "Bacterial small subunit ribosomal RNA", at positions 338 to 795 of the family's 1533-position model. The record is from RNAcentral.